GAUGAACGCUGGCGGCGUGCCUAAUACAUGCCAGUCGAGCGAACAGACGAGGAGCUUGCUCCUCUGACGUUAGCGGCGGACGGGUGAGUAACACGUGGAUAACCUACCUAUAAGACUGGGAUAACUUCGGGAAACCGGAGCUAAUACCGGAUAAUAUAUUGAACCGCAUGGUUCAAUAGUGAAAGACGGUUUUGCUGUCACUUAUAGAUGGAUCCGCGCCGCAUUAGCUAGUUGGUAAGGUAACGGCUUACCAAGGCAACGAUGCGUAGCCGACCUGAGAGGGUGAUCGGCCACACGGGAACUGAGACACGGUCCAGACUCCUACGGGAGGCAGCAGUAGGGAAUCUUCCGCAAUGGGCGAAAGCCUGACGGAGUAACGCCGCGUGAGUGAUGAAGGUCUUCGGAUCGUAAAACUCUGUUAUUAGGGAAGAACAAAUGUGUAAGUAACUAUGCACGUCUUGACGGUACCUAAUCAGAAAGCCACGGCUAACUACGUG
This 497-nucleotide ribosomal RNA is filed under the name uncultured bacterium. RNAcentral describes it as "partial 16S ribosomal RNA". It matches the Rfam family "Bacterial small subunit ribosomal RNA", at positions 28 to 507 of the family's 1533-position model. The record is from RNAcentral.